UACUCGAGUGGCGAACUGGUGAGUAACACGUUGGUGAUCUGCCCUGCACUUCGGGAUAAGCUUGGGAAACUGGGUCUAAUACCGGAUAGGAGCCAUCUUUAGUGUGGUGGUUGGAAAGUUUUUUCGGUGUAGGAUGAGCUCGCGGCCUAUCAGCUUGUUGGUGGGGUAAUGGCCUACCAAGGCGGCGACGGGUAGCCGGCCUGAGAGGGUGUACGGCCACAUUUGGACUGAGAUACGGCCCAG
RNAcentral lists this ribosomal RNA (243 nucleotides) under uncultured Actinomycetales bacterium. RNAcentral's name for it is "partial 16S ribosomal RNA". It matches the Rfam family "Bacterial small subunit ribosomal RNA", at positions 88 to 334 of the family's 1533-position model. The record is from RNAcentral. Lineage: Bacteria; Bacillati; Actinomycetota; Actinomycetes; Actinomycetales.